RNAcentral lists this ribosomal RNA (482 nucleotides) under uncultured bacterium. RNAcentral's name for it is "partial 16S ribosomal RNA". It matches the Rfam family "Bacterial small subunit ribosomal RNA", at positions 28 to 523 of the family's 1533-position model. The record is from RNAcentral.
GACGAACGCUGGCGGCGUGCUUAACACAUGCAAGUCGAACGAUGAAACCUAGCUUGCUAGGUCGAUUAGUGGCGGACGGGUGAGUAGCACGUGACUAACCUGCCCCUUUCUCUGGGAUAACGCUCCGAAAGGAGUGCUAAUACCAGAUACUCACAUCAAGGCACAUGCCUUGGUGUGGAAAGUUUUUCGGAAAGGGAUGGAGUCGCGGCCUAUCAGCGUGUUGGUGAGGUAACGGCUCACCAAGGCGACGACGGGUAGGCGGCCUGAGAGGGCGACCGGCCACACUGGGACUGAGACACGGCCCAGACUCCUACGGGAGGCAGCAGUGGGGAAUAUUGCACAAUGGGCGCAAGCCUGAUGCAGCGACGCCGCGUGAGGGAUGAAGGUCUUCGGAUUGUAAACCUCUUUCAGUAGGGACGAAGCGAAAGUGACGGUACCUAAAGAAGAAGCACCGGCUAACUACGUGCCAGCCGCCGCCGUAA